Podarcis lilfordi (Lilford's wall lizard) is the source of this 84-nucleotide non-coding RNA. NCBI's taxonomy places the organism in Eukaryota, Metazoa, Chordata, Lepidosauria, Squamata, Lacertidae. The record is from the annotation of a GenBank genome assembly.
GCUCUUGUGUUUCAUGUCCCACAAGUUGGUUAGAGCAUGGUGCUAAUAAUGCCAAGGUUGCAGGUUCGAUUCCUGUCGGGGACA